Marmota monax (woodchuck) is the source of this 947-nucleotide long non-coding RNA. RefSeq lists it as uncharacterized. The record is from RefSeq and is a predicted model, not a curated record. Lineage: Eukaryota; Metazoa; Chordata; Mammalia; Rodentia; Sciuridae. The transcript is spliced from 4 exons.
GGGAAGCUCCCAGAAGACAGAGGAGCAUUGAGGGCUGUGCACAGAGGCCACAGUGGCUCUGCUCGCACACCACCCGUUACUGCCAGCCUAUGACCUGAGCUCCUUGGACGGCAGCCCACUCCCUGCACACCAUGCCCUGGGACAGCGGCAGGAACUAUGAAUGAAAGAAUGGAUGGCAAUUAUUGAUAAUGAUUAGAUACCAGAAAAUUAAGUAUUAUCAAGCUGGGAAGAGAGAGAAUGUUUAUAAAGAGGAUGUAUGUGAGCCUGAAUUUGCAUCUAUGGAAUAUGAAAAGCAAUUAGAGUUGAAGAAAAACUGAACAGAUCAAAGUUAGGACAUCUGGAGGUUAGGACAUCUGCAUUAGGCAGUCAACAGAAUUUAACUCGGAUGAUUCAAAUGAAAUGACAUCAAAGAAGGGACUGUAGAUCUCCUAUCUGUCCGUUUAUGAUUAGGAUACCUUUACAUGCAUGAAAGAAUAUGUGAGGUUCCCUGGGAGUGAGCAUCUGGGAAUACAAUUGAAGCUGGUGGGAACCCCAGGACGAGGGACCCCUAAGGCUGACUUGAUUACUACUUCCUUGACAAGGUGGUCCUUAAUGGAGGAGGGCUGUGGAGCCCCUGAGAAGGGAAGAAGGGACCUCAAAAGAAAAUCAAGACCCCAGAACAAAGCACCAGGGGAAAGAAAAGCCUACAAGGCUUGUUUAAUCUCCUUUAGAGUGUGGAAAGAGCUUUUUCACAGAGGAUAUGAACUCUUUCUACUCUACCUGGGGCCUGAGCUACAGUGUGCGCCAUGCAGGUGAGCCAUUAGGAGGACUCUGGCAAGAAAAGAGCCCGAUUAUCUUUUAAUGUUCCUCCCAGCUCCAAGAUUCCAAGACUUUGUGAAAAUUUAAAAAUAAAUAGAACAUGCCACAUGAAUUACCUUAUUAUUUUAUUGUUUUAAAGAAGACUUACA